AUGGGGGGAACCCUGAUCCAGCCAUGCCGCGUGUGUGAAGAAGGCCUUUUGGUUGUAAAGCACUUUAAGCGAGGAGGAGGCUACUCUAGUUAAUACCUAGGGAUAGUGGACGUUACUCGCAGAAUAAGCACCGGCUAACUCUGUGCCAGCAGCCGCGGUAAUACAGAGGGUGCAAGCGUUAAUCGGAUUUACUGGGCGUAAAGCGCGCGUAGGUGGCCAAUUAAGUCAAAUGUGAAAUCCCCGAGCUUAACUUGGGAAUUGCAUUCGAUACUGGUUGGCUAGAGUAUGGGAGAGGAUGGUAGAAUUCCAGGUGUAGCGGUGAAAUGCGUAGAGAUCUGGAGGAAUACCGAUGGCGAAGGCAGCCAUCUGGCCUAAUACUGACACUGAGGUGCGAAAGCAUGGGGAGCAAACAGGAUUAGAUACCCUGGUAGUCCAUGCCGUAAACGAUGUCUACUAGCCGUUGGGGCCUUUGAGGCUUUAGUGGCGCAGCUAACGCGAUAAGUAGACCGCCUGGGGAGUACGGUCGCAAGACUA
This 534-nucleotide ribosomal RNA is filed under the name bacterium E-1-0-6D. RNAcentral's name for it is "bacterial SSU rRNA". It matches the Rfam family "Bacterial small subunit ribosomal RNA", at positions 371 to 896 of the family's 1533-position model. The record is from RNAcentral.